Molecule: long non-coding RNA, 345 nt
Organism: Nymphaea colorata (pocket water lily)
Lineage: Eukaryota; Viridiplantae; Streptophyta; Magnoliopsida; Nymphaeales; Nymphaeaceae
Exons: 3
Source: RefSeq, a predicted model, not a curated record
UACAGAGUGGGAUCAUUGUUCUAUGCAAUUUACUUUAUAGUUAGCUUCCCCAUGUUCAUAAGGUGAUGUUAAAAGCAGGAAAAUAUGAGCUUGUUCACAAGUUUUUUGGAAAAAUGAGAAAAAGAGGACUUGCUCCAAAUUCUCACACAUAUAAAGUUCUUGUGACUGCCUGUUGGAGAGAAGGUAAGAUAGACGAUGCUGUUGAAGCAGUUUUGGAUAUGGAACGGAGGGGAGUAGUUGGGUCGGCUAGUGUGGGAAUCCUCAGAUGAUGAUUUCAAGGAACAAAGUAAUGCAAUGUAAGCAUCUCAAAAAUCAUGUUAUUGUCAUUGUCUCAAUCAUAUCUUU